UCCGAGUUGACCCCGGCAGUCUCUGUAGAGUUCCCGGCAUUACCCGUUGGCAACUACAGACAAGGGUUGCGCUCGUUGCGGGACUUAACCCAACAUCUCACGACACGAGCUGACGACAGCCAUGCAGCACCUCUACCGACGUCCCUUGCGGGAGGACCCCUUCUCGGGGGCUUUCAUCGGCGGUUCAAACCCAGGUAAGGUUCUUCGCGUUGCGUCGAAUUAAACCACAUGUUCCACCGCUUGUGCGGGCCCCCGUCAAUUCCUUUGAGUUUCAGUCUUGCGACCGUACUCCCCAGGCGGAGUGCUUAAUGUGUUGACGUCGGCACAGCAGGGGUCGAUACCCGCUACACCAAGCACUCAUCGUUUACGGCGUGGACUAC
RNAcentral lists this unclassified non-coding RNA (380 nucleotides) under uncultured Acidobacteriota bacterium. Its description in RNAcentral is "uncultured Acidobacteria bacterium contains 16S-23S intergenic spacer region". Lineage: Bacteria; Pseudomonadati; Acidobacteriota. The record is from RNAcentral.